RNAcentral lists this small RNA (361 nucleotides) under Drosophila yakuba. RNAcentral's name for it is "GE27836". The record is from RNAcentral. Lineage: Eukaryota; Metazoa; Arthropoda; Insecta; Diptera; Drosophilidae.
UAUCAACUUCCCUCAUUUUCAUUCGUGUUUUGAAUUCGCUGCGAGCGGACGCGUUUUGUGUUUGAAGGCGAUUGCGCGGCGCGCGUUUUCGCAUCGUACAAACGUUGAAGUGCAACAAAUCGGCGAAGCUGGCCCACAGUGAUCGGCCUUAAAUGCGCUUCUGCUGAAGAAAAUUGGACAACCCUUGCUGCCACAUUGCGAGCCAAAGUUAUUGGUUAACAGUAGAGACUGCCAUUGGAGGACUCGGAGCCCCAACGAAGCCAAAGACUAAUCCCAACAACGAAGCCAAUUAGCAACAAGAGGUGAGUGAGAAAUCAUCAAGAAGGUUCGUUGCCCAAGAGGCAGAUGGCCGAUGGUCGAU